RNAcentral lists this unclassified non-coding RNA (350 nucleotides) under plant metagenome. RNAcentral's name for it is "partial contains small subunit ribosomal RNA and internal transcribed spacer 1". The stretch from base 1 to 46 matches the Rfam family "Eukaryotic small subunit ribosomal RNA", at positions 1786 to 1831 of the family's 1831-position model. The record is from RNAcentral.
AAGUCGUAACAAGGUUUCCGUAGGUGAACCUGCGGAAGGAUCAUUACCAAAGAAGAACAGAAAACCACUUCAGGGAGGCGGACCUGACGGACGUCUUGAACCCUGUUGGGACCACCCUAUACCUGCGAAACGCCACCGUCCUAGCGGUGGCGGACGAUGAAUCAGGCACGGUGGCCCGUUUACCUUCACAUAAUUCCCUGCGUACCACUUCCACGUUGCUUCCCCCGCAAUCCUCACCCAUUGCAUUGGAUCGGCAGGGACGGUCCGGGGAUCCGUCAAUCCAAAAACCAAAGCCAGCCACUUGCCACCUCAAACAGCAGUCAGACGACCAAUGACAAAAUCAUUAAAAA